UUUCCGUAGGUGAACCUGCGGAAGGAUCAUUAUUGUAUAACCGAGGUGCGAGGGCUGUCGCUGACCCGAAAGGUCGUGCACGCCCGAGUGCCCUCACACACAUCCAUUUCACCCCUAUUUGCACCACCGCGUGGGUCCCCCUUUGGCUUGUUCGGAGGGGGGCUUACGUUUUCACACAAACUUUGUAUGCAGUGUAGAAUGUAUUUUUUGUUUUUGCGAUCACGCAAUCAAUACAACUUUCAACAACGGAUCUCUUGGCUCUC
RNAcentral lists this unclassified non-coding RNA (263 nucleotides) under plant metagenome. Its description in RNAcentral is "partial contains small subunit ribosomal RNA, internal transcribed spacer 1, and 5.8S ribosomal RNA". The record is from RNAcentral.